UGGUGAUACCCAGACAGGUACUCGGGAACUAAGAGAUGGGAUACGCUGGAUGAAGGAAUGAUUCACAUCCCAGGCGGAAUGGGGCAGGAUGAUGCAAGAUUUCAUAGUUGAACUUUUUACCUGCAGUUAUACCCUCCCAGUUCAAACCUGUGUUGUUCAAGACAACUGUAUUAUGACCCAUGAUUUGUUAUCUCCACCUGUAACAUUCUUCCUCAGGUGAGGAGGCUGAGGCUUGGAGGUGUCAAGCGAUGUUUUUAAGAAGUGGCAAAGCUGGAAUUUCACCCCAGGUGUUCUUAAUAAAUGGCAAAGCUGAGAUUUAUGACCAGCACCAGGUGUAGCUUAUUCAUGGACUCCACGUGGGAUGAUCAAGAUUGACGUGAGAUGAAUCAGCAAGAGCGCAGCAUCUGGCUUUCCUGGCAUUUACAUUUCUCACUGUAAAUCAGUGGCUUUCAACUGGGGACGAUUCUGGCAACACCCCCACAGGCGACAUUUGGCACCAUCUAGAGACAUUUUUGGUCGUCACAAUUGGGGGAGAGAUGUGAUACUGGCAUCUGGAGAAUAGAGGCCAGGAACGCUGCUACAUGUGUCAUGAUGUCACCGCCACACACGACAGUCAUCCAGCCCCCAAAGUCAACAGUGCGGAGGCUGAGACACCUCGCUGGAGAUGACAAGUCCAUAUUUCUCCAUCACUCACCGUUCUAGGGGGUACAUGCUACUGUUUCCUGAUUACAUGACUGAGAAGACUGGGGUGAAAAAGUGAAGAAACCUGGCUAGAGUCAGCUAGUGAUGGAAAGUGGCUUGGAGGCCAGGUCUGCCUCCCACCGCUCCCUGAGUUGUUCAUCAGCAGAGCACGUGGUUUCUCAGAAACGGACCCUUCCGUGGGUGAAGACUGCAUGAAAAGUCGUUCCCAGGCUUACCUAUGUCUUACCUCUACUCUGUCAAACAAAUAAACAAUCAAACAAAACCGGGAGCCUGUCAUGACAGAUUAAAAAACUCCA
Molecule: non-coding RNA, 998 nt
Organism: Odocoileus virginianus texanus
Lineage: Eukaryota; Metazoa; Chordata; Mammalia; Artiodactyla; Cervidae
Source: RefSeq, a predicted model, not a curated record